This 288-nucleotide ribosomal RNA is filed under the name uncultured microorganism. RNAcentral describes it as "partial 16S ribosomal RNA". It matches the Rfam family "Bacterial small subunit ribosomal RNA", at positions 346 to 624 of the family's 1533-position model. The record is from RNAcentral.
GCGCAGCAGUCGAGAAUAGUCUACAAUGGACGAAAGUCUGAUAGUGCGACGCCGUGUGUGCGAUUUAAUUCCUUCGGGAUGUAAAGCACUUUUCUAUGAGAUAAAAGCUCUUUAGGUUAAUAGCUUAUUGGACGGAUAUUAUUAUAGGAAUAAGCUCCGGCUAACUCCGUGCCAGCAGCCGCGGUAAUACGGAAGGAGCGAGCGUUGUCCGGAUUUACUAGGCGUAAAGGGCUAGUAGGCGACUAAUUAAGUUAUAUGUUAAAUCCCGUGGCUCAACUGUGGUCCUGC